GAUGAACGCUGGCGGCGUGCCUAAUACAUGCAAGUCGAGCGAACAGACGAGGAGCUUGCUCCUCUGACGUUAGCGGCGGACGGGUGAGUAACACGUGGAUAACCUACCUAUAAGACUGGGAUAACUUCGGGAAACCGGAGCUAAUACCGGAUAAUAUAUUGAACCGCAUGGUUCAAUAGUGAAAGACGGUUUUGCUGUCACUUAUAGAUGGAUCCGCGCCGCAUUAGCUAGUUGGUAAGGUAACGGCUUACCAAGGCGACGAUGCGUAGCCGACCUGAGAGGGGGACGGGCCACCCUGGAACUGACACCCGGUCCAGGCCUCUACGGGGGGCCACAAUAGGGGAUUCUUCGACAUGGGAGAAAGCCUUACGGAACAACCGCGGGUGAGGGAAGAAGGUUCUGGGCUCGUAAAACUCUUUUUAUGGGGAAAAAAAAAUUUGUAAGGAACUAUGCCCCUCUUGACGGGACCUAAACAAAAAGCCCCCGCUAACCUCG
This 495-nucleotide ribosomal RNA is filed under the name uncultured bacterium. RNAcentral's name for it is "partial 16S ribosomal RNA". It matches the Rfam family "Bacterial small subunit ribosomal RNA", at positions 28 to 505 of the family's 1533-position model. The record is from RNAcentral.